RNAcentral lists this ribosomal RNA (498 nucleotides) under uncultured bacterium. Its description in RNAcentral is "partial 16S ribosomal RNA". It matches the Rfam family "Bacterial small subunit ribosomal RNA", at positions 30 to 523 of the family's 1533-position model. The record is from RNAcentral.
AUUGAACGCUGGCGGCAUGCUUUACACAUGCAAGUCGAACGGUAACAGGUCUUCGGAUGCUGACGAGUGGCGAACGGGUGAGUAAUACAUCGGAACGUGCCUAGUAGUGGGGGAUAACUACUCGAAAGAGUAGCUAAUACCGCAUGAGAUCUACGGAUGAAAGCAGGGGACCUUCGGGACUUGUGCUACUAGAGCGGCUGAUGGCAGAUUAGGUAGUUGGUGGGGUAAAGGCUUACCAAGCCUGCGAUCUGUAGCUGGUCUGAGAGGACGACCAGCCCAACGGGGACUGAGAGACGGCCCAGUAUCCUACGGGAGGCAGCAUUGGGGAAUUUUGGACAAUGGGCGAAAGCCUGUUCCAGCAAUUCCGCGUGCAGGAUGAAGGCCCUCGGGUUGUAAACUGCUUUUGUACGGAACGAAAAGCCUGGGGCUAAUAUCCCCGGGUCAUGACGGUACCGUAAGAAUAAGCACCGGCUAACUACGUGCCAGCCACCGCCGCCG